UUCUCCAACAGCUGUAGAUCUGCUAUUCAUUGCAGUGGCAUAGCUGUAGAAUUAGAGAAUUGCUUGAAGGAGAGAAAACCCUAAGCUGUUGUUCUGUGUUCAUGUUCAGGGAGGAGUUGCCUUUCAGCAGAGCUCAGACUCUCUGCACAUUGCCCAAGAAUGUGAUGACGACCUGGAGACCAGAGAUUGGUGUUGUGAAGAGGCACCUCGCGACGAUACGAGAGAACGAGAGUUCACUCCUUUUAGCACAGAAGAAAACAAAGGAAGUAAUGACUGUCUGGAUCCCUCACAAAACAGGGAGGGUGACGGAGGUCCCUCGCUCAGCUGUGACACUGCCCCGGCUCUCCUACACAGUGGCAAAAGCGAAGAUCAGCGGGCGUGUGCUUGUGAAAACAGUGAGACUGAUUGCAGAGAGCAAGAGGAGCGUUCAACUACUGGUGUAGUUAGUACCGGUGACAUUGGAGAUAGUAAUGAUGGUUUGCAGAGUGGUUCUGAGAGCAUAGUCAACAGAACCUCUUCCUGCGGAGAACAGAAAGAGGAAGCUGAUAAAGCAUAUGACUUAAUCUGUGAAGCACCGGGGGAAAAUCAGGAAAAAGGACACAACUCUGUAGAGGAGAAAGUAUCGGAGGAGAAAGAGCUAUCUGAACGUAGCCCCACCGUUGAGGCAGGAGAUAUGGGAAUCACUCAGUCUUUGGACACAUCAGAAAGCUCGGAUGUUGGAUCUUCUUCUCGAGGCACUGAGACCGAUGCUGAGGAAGAGGAUGGGUGCGAAGAUCUUAUAGAAUCUGAGGAGGUGCGAGAAGAAAGGAAGGAACCACCGGACGUAAAUCCUGAUGGAGAUACACCUCUAGAUAUCUCACACCAAAAUUUGGUGGAAAAUGAAAUGCAUGCUUGUCGAGGCAUUUGUGAUAAAACUGGUGACCCAGAAACCCAUAAACUAGUGGGAGACACUUGUGAGAAGAUCUUGUGUAUUGUGGAAGGUAGUCGAGAUCUUGAUUCUUCAGGAACCUUUGAUCAAGAAGAAGCCGAUGAGGAGUUUCAGGAGAGUCUAGAAAUGCCAUACAUGGAAACAGAUGGAGACCAACAGAAUGAAGAACUUCGAGAUACACCCUCAAGGAUUUCAGUCGCUAAAGAUGAGAGCGUUUUCCACCUGCGUGAAGUAAUUCAAGAGC
This is a long non-coding RNA of Cyprinus carpio (common carp), 1172 nucleotides long. Lineage: Eukaryota; Metazoa; Chordata; Actinopteri; Cypriniformes; Cyprinidae. The record is from Ensembl.